RNAcentral lists this ribosomal RNA (551 nucleotides) under uncultured bacterium. Its description in RNAcentral is "partial 16S ribosomal RNA". It matches the Rfam family "Bacterial small subunit ribosomal RNA", at positions 355 to 897 of the family's 1533-position model. The record is from RNAcentral.
UAGGGAAUCCUCCACAAUGGACGCAAGUCUGAUGGAGCAACGCCGCGUGAGUGAAGAAGGUCUUCGGAUCGUAAAGCUCUGUUGUUGGUGAAGAAGGAUAGAGGCAGUAACUGGUCUUUAUUUGACGGUAAUCAACCAGAAAGUCACGGCUAACUACGUGCCAGCAGCCGCGGUAAUACGUAGGUGGCAAGCGUUGUCCGGAUUUAUUGGGCGUAAAGCGAGCGCAGGCGGAAUGAUAAGUCUGAUGUGAAAGCCCACGGCUCAACCGUGGAACUGCAUCGGAAACUGUCAUUCUUGAGUGCAGAAGAGGAGAGUGGAACUCCAUGUGUAGCGGUGGAAUGCGUAGAUAUAUGGAAGAACACCAGUGGCGAAGGCGGCUCUCUGGUCUGCAACUGACGCUGAGGCUCGAAAGCAUGGGUAGCGAACAGGAUUAGAUACCCUGGUAGUCCAUGCCGUAAACGAUGAGCGCUAGGUGUUGGGGACUUUCCGGUCCUCAGUGCCGCAGCAAACGCAUUAAGCGCUCCGCCUGGGGAGUACGACCGCAAGGUUGA